GCAAGAGAGGGAGAGAGAGAGAGGGGGGGGGAGAGAGGGAGGGAGAGAGAGUUAGAGAGCAAAAGAGAGAGAGAGAGCAACAGACAGAGAGAGCAAGAGAGAGAGAGAGAACGAGAGGGAGAGAGAGCAAGAGAGAAAGAGAGAGCACGAGAGAGAGAGAGCAACAGACAGAGAGAGGGAGAGAGAAAGAGAGAGAGAGUGAGACAGUACCACAGUGUGUGAUCUUUAAGUUAAACUACAGACGUGAGCUUUAAAUGACAUCUGAAAUGUAAUGUUAAUCUGUAUCUCUCCCUUUCAUCUCUGUACCUUGAUUUAUAUUUGAUAAUGUUCCCACUGUAGCAUGAUUAAGUGGGAGAUGUUGACAACAAGAAAGAGAAAGAGAGAGAAUGAGAAAGAAAGAGAGGGAGGGAGGGAGAGAGAGAAAGCGAGAGAGUAAGAGAGAAACAGAGAAAGAGAGGGCGGGAGAGAAAGAGAGGGAGAGAGAGAAAGAGAGGGAGAGAGA
Molecule: long non-coding RNA, 502 nt
Organism: Oncorhynchus tshawytscha (Chinook salmon)
Lineage: Eukaryota; Metazoa; Chordata; Actinopteri; Salmoniformes; Salmonidae
Source: Ensembl